CAUGCAAGUCGAACGCGCAGCGAAAGGUGCUUGCACCUUUCAAGCGAGUGGCGAACGGGUGAGUAACACGUGGAUAACCUGCCUCAAGGCUGGGGAUAACAUUUGGAAACAGAUGCUAAUACCGAAUAAAACUUAGUAUCGCAUGAUACAAAGUUGAAAGGCGCUACGGCGUCACCUAGAGAUGGGUCCGCGGUGCAUUAGUUAGUUGGUGGGGUAAAGGCCUACCAAGACAAUGAUGCAUAGCCGAGUUGAGAGACUGAUCGGCCACAUUGGGACUGAGACACGGCCCAAACUCCUACGGGAGGCUGCAGUAGGGAAUCUUCCACAAUGGGCGAAAGCCUGAUGGAGCAACGCCGCGUGUGUGAUGAAGGCUUUAGGGUCGUAAAGCACUGUUGUAUGGGAAGAAAUGCUAGAAUAGGGAAUGAUUCUAGUUCGACGGUACCAUACCAGAAAGGGACGGCUAAAUACGUGCCAGCAGCCGCGGUAAUACGUAUGUCCCGAGCGUUAUCCGGAUUUAUUGGGCGUAAAGCGAGCGCAGACGGUUGAUUAAGUCUGAUGUGAAAGCCCGGAGCUCAACUCCGGAAUGGCAUUGGAAACUGGUUAACUUGAGUGUUGUAGAGGUAAGUGGAACUCCAUGUGUAGCGGUGGAAUGCGUAGAUAUAUGGAAGAACACCAGUGGCGAAGGCGGCUUACUGGACAACAACUGACGUUGAGGCUCGAAAGUGUGGGUAGCAAACAGGAUUA
RNAcentral lists this ribosomal RNA (744 nucleotides) under Leuconostoc lactis. RNAcentral's name for it is "bacterial SSU rRNA". It matches the Rfam family "Bacterial small subunit ribosomal RNA", at positions 54 to 780 of the family's 1533-position model. The record is from RNAcentral. Lineage: Bacteria; Bacillati; Bacillota; Bacilli; Lactobacillales; Lactobacillaceae.